AGAUCUUGAAGAGAAACCACGAUGAUG
RNAcentral lists this small RNA (27 nucleotides) under Bombyx mori (domestic silkworm). RNAcentral describes it as "ovarian small RNA-11963". The record is from RNAcentral. Lineage: Eukaryota; Metazoa; Arthropoda; Insecta; Lepidoptera; Bombycidae.